GCACAAGCGGUGGAUGAUGUGGAUUAAUUCGAUGCAACGCGAACGAACCUUACCUACCCUUGACAUGUCCGGAACUUGCCAGAGAUGGCUUGGUGCCCGAAAGGGAAUCGGAACACAGGUGCUGCAUGGCUGUCGUCAGCUCGUGUCGUGAGAUGUUGGGUUAAGUCCCACAACGAGCGCAACCCUUAUCAUUAGUUGCUACGCAAGGGCACUCUAAUGAGACUGCCGGUGACAAACCGGAGGAAGGUGGGGAUGACGUCAAGUCCUCAUGGCCCUUAUGGGUAGGGCUUCACACGUCAUACAAUGGUCGGUACAGAGGGUUGCCAAGCCGCGAGGCGGAGCCAAUCCCACAAAGCCGAUCGUAGUCCGGAUUGUUCUCUGCAACUCGAGAGCAUGAAGUCGGAAUCGCUAGUAAUCGCAGGUCAGCAUACUACGGUGAAUACGUUCCCGGGUCUU
This 456-nucleotide ribosomal RNA is filed under the name uncultured Thiobacillus sp. RNAcentral describes it as "bacterial SSU rRNA". It matches the Rfam family "Bacterial small subunit ribosomal RNA", at positions 923 to 1382 of the family's 1533-position model. Lineage: Bacteria; Pseudomonadati; Pseudomonadota; Betaproteobacteria; Nitrosomonadales; Thiobacillaceae. The record is from RNAcentral.